UACGAAGGGAACUAGCGUUGUUCGGAAUCACUGGGCGUAAAGCGCGCGUAGGCGGCUAUACAAGUCAGAGGUGAAAUGCCGGGGCUUAACCCCGGAACUGCCUUUGAAACUGUAUAGCUAGAGUAUCGGAGGGGAGUGCGGAAUUUCUAAUGUAGCGGUGAAAUGCGUAGAUAUUAGAAGGAACACCGGUGGCGAAGGCGGCACUCUGGACGAUUACUGACGCUGAGGUGCGAAAGCGUGGGGAGCAAAC
RNAcentral lists this ribosomal RNA (250 nucleotides) under uncultured bacterium. RNAcentral's name for it is "partial 16S ribosomal RNA". It matches the Rfam family "Bacterial small subunit ribosomal RNA", at positions 524 to 773 of the family's 1533-position model. The record is from RNAcentral.